Poecilia latipinna (sailfin molly) is the source of this 2481-nucleotide long non-coding RNA. RefSeq lists it as uncharacterized. The transcript has 2 exons. The record is from RefSeq and is a predicted model, not a curated record. NCBI's taxonomy places the organism in Eukaryota, Metazoa, Chordata, Actinopteri, Cyprinodontiformes, Poeciliidae.
UGUACCAGUAGCUUUGUUUAGAGCUUCAUCUUUGCUUCUUUCUGUCUGACACGCAAUAAGAGGAUUAUCUCUGAGAUUUCCAAAUGUUUAAAAAAAAAAAUGCACAAGUCUAAUAUUUUGAACUGAUGCAGUUUUCAAAUUAUAACAAAUUAUCAAGAGAAAAAGUCCUCCAAGGUGGGACUUUAAUCUAUAAAUCUAUAAAAUAGCUUCUAUACUGUACUUGCACUGCCCCAAAUUAUGCACCCCUAAGAAAGUUGCCUUCGAUGUCAAAUAUAAUGUGCUCUGAAUUGUCCAUUAAAAGUAAACAUACAUUUUUCUCCUGCCCUCCAUUGCCAUUGUAAAGAAUUUUGUUCUUCAGUCACCCAAUGCAUUCGUCGAUCUGAAAACCAGCAAUCUCUUUUGGUAUUUUGCAGUAAGGUCUUCAAGCUUUAAGUGUUCAACAAGCUAGUUAUACUACACAUUUAUCAUUUUCUUUACAAAUGGUUUUAGCUACAUUAAUUUUGUACCUUUUUUAUAUAUAUAUAUAUAAAUAUAUUUAAAAUGUUCUCUUUUUCUUAGAUGGUAUUUUUUGUUCUUUAGGAAAUACCCUUUGUUUUCAAUAGUUGCAGCUUGAUGAUGACUUGUGAUUUUGGUGUAUUAUAAGGAUUUACAAUUUCCAGUAACUUGCCAAUAAAAACAUGUUGAAAUGUGCACCCUUCAACUCAGAAUUUGGCUACUUGGAUCAAAGUGACGAGAUCUUUGAUUGUUAUAAUUAGCUACUCUCAAUGUCGUUGUUGUUGUUGGGUUUUUUUAAAUAGAUAAUUUAAUUGUUACCAACUUUUCAGCAGCGCAAAAGCUGGGGUGUAACCAAAGACUAAGCGUGCGCAUAGCUUGAUCAGUCAUAUCACCUUUUUAGAGAGAAUUAAAUAAUGAAAUAGCAGAUUUUUGGUGUAAUUUGACCUAUUUUACAACUGAGGAAACUGUUGAAAUGUCUUACAACCCAGAACAUUCCUGUAUGCAAUAGACAUGGGUCGCUAUAGGAUUUUCACAGUUUGACGGUUAAAGAUUAAUGUAAAGACUUAAGUCAAAAAUGCAUGUCCUGACCAUAUUGCAGCACAUUUGGAUGAACACUGUGGGUAUUACAGUUUUAUAAUCUGACAUUUCUAUUCGUAUCAUAUGUCUAAGUUCAUACAAGUCUAAAUAAGUGUGCAUAUUGCAUUUUUAUCAUCCUGCUUUUUAUUAGAUCAUGUGGGAUGUACCUCAAGAUAAUUUAUAAACUUUGGUCGAGGUAAGUGGCCCAUGCCUCUUAUGCAUAUGAAAGCUCUCACCAGCAUUAGUGAAACAACAGUUUCAAAACUCUGUGCUUACACACUGUAGAUUUUUGUUUACAUGCUCAUAUUCACUCCAGGCCGUGUUCUGUUUAAGUGGACAUUAAACGCGUGAACAGAAUGUCUUAAAAAAGAAAGAAAUUUGAAAAUUAGGUCAAACAUCUAAAUGUCAUUUUGACUCAUGAUUUCAAUCUGUGUAUUUUCUCCAAACAAAACUGAAUUAUUUGGUUUGCAUGCUAAAACUGAAGGGAAACUGCACAUUACAAAUAUGUUUGGUAAGACAAAUCACAGAAGGUUUAGAUUUGUUUUGUUUUGUUUUUUUUUAUUUAAAGCAUUUGUCUGCACAAAUUUGAAGCAAAAGUGCAUAAGAACAAAUGUUAGUGCUGCAGAGUAGCUUUGUCUGGAUGUUUAUUUAACCCACAAUGACACCUUGUCAUGGAGAACUGUUAAUAGUUUUUUUUUUUCUUUCUUUAAAUUGGAUUGAAGUUACUCAUGACCUGAAGCCGAUUAUAUUAUACCUCUGUUCUGGAACUUUCCCACCUGUCUUGUAAUUUUGCUGGCUCAGCCAACGUCUUACAAGCUGAGUCUAAGAUACGUUUACUUUUAUUUCACAAUGAUACAAGUGUUAGUUCUAUGCAUUGACCUAAAAGUGUUCGAACUGUAUGCCCAGGAAAUCUUCUUAAUGGCUAUACCUUUUACGUGCAUAUUGCCAGGAUCCAUCAAGAGCCUUUGCAAUAGAUUGUACUGUCAGACCAACCAGCUGCUCUCCCUUUUAGAGGCAAUCUGGAGUCAAAUGCGGUUGUGAAGGACACUUUAAAACAUUCUGAUGUCUGCAUUCCUACAUACAGAUCAUAUUGUAUUUUCUUCUUAUUGUGAUGACAAUUGUGUAUUCCAAAACAAGCAUCUUUCCAGCAAAUGUCCUAUGAAAGAAGCUUCUUGGAUAAAGUGAAGUUCCUACAUGUCACUUGUGAUGUUGUAUAAUGUUAUAUAGUUGUUACUUUUUAUUUUUCCAUACACGUUGUUCCCUCUGCUUGCUAUAAACGGAGCAUAUCCACUAAAACGCAGCCUGUUAGAAUCGAUGUUCUUCAAGCAAUGAUCUCAAUAGGCUUUCCAGCUAUCCAACAUUUACGACUUCUUACAGUGUACACUAAUAAAGCUGUUUUACUUCAAUGAA